This 284-nucleotide ribosomal RNA is filed under the name uncultured bacterium. Its description in RNAcentral is "partial 16S ribosomal RNA". It matches the Rfam family "Bacterial small subunit ribosomal RNA", at positions 226 to 509 of the family's 1533-position model. The record is from RNAcentral.
UGGGGAUGCGUCUGAUUAGGUGUUGCGGGUAACGGCCACCAAGCCUACGAUCAGUAGGGGUUCUGAGAGGAAGGUCCCCCACAUUGGUACUGAGACACGGACCAAACUCCUACGGGAGGCAGCAGGUGAGGAAUAUUGGUCAAUGGGCGAGAGCCUGAACCAGCCAAGUAGCGUGCAGGAUGACUGCCCUAUGGGUUGUAAACUGCUUUUAUAGGGGAAUAAAGUGAGGUAUGCAUACCUUUUUGUAUGUACCCUAUGAAUAACGGACCGGCUAAUUCCGUGCC